Molecule: unclassified non-coding RNA, 148 nt
Organism: Papio anubis (olive baboon)
Lineage: Eukaryota; Metazoa; Chordata; Mammalia; Primates; Cercopithecidae
Rfam family: Metazoan signal recognition particle RNA
About the family: The signal recognition particle (SRP) is a universally conserved ribonucleoprotein. It is involved in the co-translational targeting of proteins to membranes.
Source: Ensembl
GCCGGGUAUGGUGGUGGGUGCCUGUAAUCCUAGCUACUUGGGAGGCUGAGGCUGGAGAAUCACUUGAACCCAGGAGGCGGAGGUUGCAGUGAGCCAAGAUCACGCCACUGCAAUCCAGCCUGGGUGACAGAGUGAGACUCCAUCUCAA